Molecule: long non-coding RNA, 290 nt
Filed under: Lathyrus oleraceus (garden pea)
Lineage: Eukaryota; Viridiplantae; Streptophyta; Magnoliopsida; Fabales; Fabaceae
Description: Pisum sativum (pea) long non-coding RNA (PSAT_LNC013331)
Source: RNAcentral
AGAUCAGUAACAAACCGCUGAUAUCCAAAUCGAUACCACAUGUAUUGAGUCGAGUUAUGAAUCACAUUACUUUCCAAAUAAAGACUAUGUGAAUUGAAUUAUUGUGUUGUUAUGUAAUUGAAUGUGUUUGUCGGUUGUGUAAGUUUAUCUACCAUUGCAUUCUUUUACGCAGUUAAUAUAUUUGAGUGUAUUCUCACCUCUUUCUUGUUUGUUUUGUGUUGCUUUAUAUAUUGUUGUACAGAUACCCAGGAGGAGUAAAUGUUGUUGUGAGUUGGAAGAUGGCCUUUGAG